AGAACGUUUAAAGCUCCCAAAUCAUUGAAGGUUUCUUAAUUUCAGUGUUACAAAGCUCACAUGGAAUGCAUUAACAAUAAACCUUCGAUCACCUUUGUACCCUGAAAUGGUCAGGGUUUUCGCCUUUCCCCCACUUACUUUGCAAGGGAUGAAGUUCGGUUAUAGUUUUUUUAUUUUUUAUUACUCCAUGUAUUCCUAUUAAAGUUUGGUUGCAGUUCUUUUUUUCUAGAUCAAAACACUAGGCUGCUAGCUGCUUGUUUGUUUUAGUACCUUCUCCUUCUUCUAGCUAACUUGGGGCAACUGCAUGAUGCUUGAGGAAGAACUCUUGGCUGUAAAUAUACAAUAUCUAGUUCAGAAACCCCCAAUAUCCAUGAUAUAUGGAACAUUAUGCUAUACAAUCCCUGAACCGUGUAUUUUACUAGAAAAUCUAAUUUGGCUUGUUUGGUUAGUAGAAGAAACUGAGCAAGCAACUAGUUGCUCCAAACGAUCCACUGUGAUAAAAAGUUUGAGAUGUCAUGAAAGUCAGACUCCUGAUAAAUUUGAUGUUUUGCAUAGUAUUGACUUAUAGUGUAUAAUUUAUAUAUAGAAUUCGAUGUUUUGAGAUGCCAUGAAAGUUCUUGCUAGUGAGUAUGCAUAGAAUUAUUUUGAGAAGUUAAUUUUAUAGCUAGUGGUGACUCUUGUUUUAUUUGUCAUGCGAGCAGAAAACUUCCACAAAUGGAAGAAAAUGAAUUAUCAAACUCUAUGAAUGAUAAUGAAAAACCAUGCAAAGAUAUUGCAAUUGAAAUUCCAGAGGACUUGGAGACUACCUUUCGGCGAGAGGAAUGUAUCUACAAAGCUCCAGCUGCACUUUGCGAUUCAAACAGAGCUUCCUACACUCCUCGGGUAAUUUCUAUAGGUCCUUUUCACCAUGAUAGUGAAAGUGAAAAACUGAGGCCUAUGGAAAUUCAGAAACAAAGAUAUCUGAAAGAAUUUUGUAAGAGAUUGCGAGGGGAAACAAAGGAGCAAGUGCGAGAAUCUUUGAAUGUACUUUCGAGCACCAUUGAAGAUGAAAAAGAUAAAAUCAAACACUGUUAUGCAGAUAAUACCUUUCAUCAAUUUUCUAGAAAUCAGUUUGUGAAGAUGAUUCUGUUCGAUGCAGUGUUCAUCUUCGAGCUCUUCUUGAAGAAUGAAGAAGAUAUACGCGGUAACAAACGAUAUCAACAUGAUUUCAUCAUAGGCAAACCCUGGCUGAGAGCUGCGAUUCAACGGGACUUGAUAUUGCUUGAAAAUCAGCUUCCAUUCUUCAUUCUCGAGAAAUUAUAUAGCCUUGCCAUCGAGGAAACAAAUCCCGAUUAUCGUUCUUUUCUGGACCUUUCCUGCCGCUACUUUGAGAAGUACGGUAAGAACAAAACCAAGCCAGAUGAAACCAAGCCUUAUGAAGUGUUGCAUUUCACUGAUUUGGUAAGACAUUUUCUAUCCUUCAAGCACCCGCAGUUAGAAUCACCAGAUGGAAAGCAAAUUAAAAAUCUUUAUAGCGCAACCAUGCUGCACCAAGCAGGAAUUAAGUUCAAGGCAUUGUCGGAUCAUUUCACUGAUUUGGUAAGACAUUUUCUAUCCUUCAAGCACCCGCAGCUAGAAUCACCAGAUGGAAAGCAAAUUAAAAAUCUUUACAGCGCAACCAUGCUGCACCGAGCAGGAAUUAAGUUCAAGGCAUUGCCGGAUGCAUGCUUGCUUGACAUAAGAGCCUGGAAGGAAAAUGAGAAUCCAGUCAAGAAAGGUGAGUUACAUAUGCCACCACUUGAAAUCGACAACAGCACCGAAUGUCUCUUUCGAAACCUCAUGGCCUUGGAACAGUGUCGUUAUCCAACAGAAGAGUUUAUCUGCCGUUAUGUUAAGCUAUUGGAUUUUCUUGUGGACGAUAAAAAGGAUGUGGAUUUACUCAUUGAAAAUAAGGUUAUUGUUAGCAGGCUUGGUGACAGUAAAGCUGUGGCGGAGCUUAUUAACAAACUUUGCCUAGAAAUAGUAGAAGUUACUUCUGGUUAUGAUGCUCUCUCCCAACUUCUGAAUGAUUACUACGAGAGCUCUUGGAACAAAAACAAGGCAUACUUGGUUAGUGUGUAUUUCCACAAUGUUUGGAUUGGUACUGGAACUGUUAUUGGAUUAAUCAUCCUAGCCAUCACCGUGACGCGGUUUAUCCUAUUCUUUUUCCGCUAGUAUUCUAUGUUUUUGCUAUAAAGAAAAGGCUCGACCUCGACAUCUCUAUAAAAGAAGAAGACAUGGAUGCUAGUUGAGCUCCAAGCUUCUUGUUGGCUUUCCUCCAAAUAAAUUUGUAUCGCUCUGACUCACCGUGUCGCUCCUACUGUUGUGUAUGUGGCCGUGCCUGUAGAAUUUUAGUUUCCCUUGAAGUUAAUAAAUCUUGUCAUUCCUGUUGUAAGGUAACAACAACUAUUAUUGAACUUGAAGGUUUUCAUUAACAAGGAUAUUGUCAAUGUAUUGCGGUUUGCAUCAUUUCCACAUCUUUAUCGCCACUAAAUAAAACAUGUACGUAAAAUGUUUGCUCGUCUUUUUCUUCCUUUUCUUUUAGUUGCGUGGACAAAAACAAAAUGGUGCUAACCACCUGGCCUGAGAAAGAUGACAGAACCGGGUAGGAUCUGAAGUGGGGCAGCUAUACUUUAAUGCUAUACUUUAAUAAAGGUGUCAGUUUAGGUGAUCAAUCAAUGAAUUCUUAAAUAAAAUAUACGACAAAUUGCAAUGCACUUUCACAAGCUCUCGUUCGUUGGUUUCUUGAUUUUUUUUGUGUUAAAAAAGCAAACAGACCUCUAUGGGCUACAAUACAACACUGAACCUGAUGUUCGAGAAACACCGAGUUCAGUGGGCUCUCUGACACGUAAUAUUUCGAAACAUAUGAUCACGUUACUGCUUAUUGAGUUAGAUGAUCGGAACAUCUGUCAUCCGUUUCAGUCGAGUUUUUGAAUAAUUACAAGAGCUGAUAGAGUCAAGAUAUCAAAACUAUGUCAAGAUAUUUUACUAUCUGUCGUCCCCAAUUUUACAGAAUAUGCAUCCCAAAGGCACCGGAGAAAGUUCUUGUUCUUUACCUUUCAUGUUUCAUUCCCUUGCUUUUUAUGAAAAGUAGCCAGCUAAAAGUCGGACCACCUCACUUUAAGAAGAGGCCCUACUUCUUCCAUCUUCAAUGUCUUUACCCAUUUCAAGUCCUUAUCUACUCAGGCCUAUCUACUUAGGCCAUUAUUUUCAUGUGUUGCAGUGAAAAACGAAUGCAUGAUUGCAAUUUAACUUGCGGGGGUAAUUAAGAUUACAAUGUACAGACAACCUAUUCAUGGGUCCCGGGGUUCCAUGGUUUUCUUUAUCUGUAUUUAUUAGGAAGAAAAAUGACAGAACCUCGAAAGCCGAUAGAGAGGUUUUUUAGCCAAAAAUUAGAAUUUCAUCUUCACCCGAUUGACCGAUUGAUAUUGACUCAAACCAAUACGAAGUGUUAGGUUUUUAUAGAUAAUUAGCUUCUCAUGGAGAUAAUAUACAAAGUUAAUUUGUUCAUUUCAUUAAAUUUGAAAAGGUAAAUGGUAAUUUUCUAGAUUAUAGCAAGUAACUAUAAUUAAUUGAAAUGAUGGUGCUAAUUUUGGUUCACAAAAACAAAUGGAUAAUCUUGCAUAGAUCGAUAUUAGGGUGAACAAUAUUUUUUAAAAAAAUAUGAAUGAACCAAAUUAAUAUUUUGAAUUUUUUAUAAAAAAAUAAUUACCAAUUUUAAAAGAUGAAUAAAAUAUUUUUGUAAUUAUUAUUAUUAUUGUGGUUAUUAUUAUUAUUCAUAUAUUAAUAUCUCUUCAAAAAAUGUCAAAAGUAGAAACAUAUUUCCACCUAAGCCAGAAAAUAUGAAAAGAAGAAAAGAAAAGCUNNNNNNNNNNNNNNNNNNNNNNNNNNNNNNNNNNNNNNNNNNNNNNNNNNNNNNNNNNNNNNNNNNNNNNNNNNNNNNNNNNNNNNNNNNNNNNNNNNNNAAAGCAUGAUUUAUAAUCCCUUUAUUAGUGGUCAAAUGUUCUUAAUGUUGAAUCUUGUUUUUGUGUUUCAAAAAUGUAUUUUUUUAAAAAAAAAAAUUUAAUUUUUUUAUUUGUUUUAAAUUUAUUUAGAUUGUUUUGAUGUGUUAAUGUCAAAAAUAAUUUUUUAAAAAUAAAAAAUAUUAUUUUAAUAUAUUUAUAAAUAAAAAAUAUUUUUAAAAACCAAACAUUACUACACCACCAAACACCACAUUAACCAAUAUGUUAUAAAAAAUCUCAAGGGUCCAUUUCAUAGUAGUGGUAUGACACAGUUAGCAAAUUGUGUCUUUAAAUAAAAUAAAAAUAAAAAUAAAAAUAAAGUACCCAAUCCUAUCCCAGAUAGUGACUCUCCAGCUCCACCUUUAAAAUAAGCCAAGCUACCUCACCUAGUUUUCACCUAGUUUUAAAACUAUAAUAAUAACGUUUAUUCUUACGUUAACCUUGAUUAACCGGGGUUGACCCUCUAACUUUUGAUCUAGGUCUUGCCCUGGGUCAAUCAUUUAGUCGAGUUUUAAAAUUAUAAUAAUAACUAUUUUUAUCCUUAUAUUGACUUAAGUCAAUGAUUAAUCUAACAUAUGAUUGGCUGUAGGUCGACCCUCGAGUAGGGUUUUAAAAAUAUGAUACCAGCUAUCUUUUAUCCUUACGUUAAUGUGGGUCAAUGGUCAACCCGAGCCUGACCCCGAGUCAGGUUUUAAAAUUAUGAUAAUAAUUAUUUUUACCCUUACAUUAACCCGAGUCACUGAUCAACCCUACCCGAGACCGGAGCCUAGCCCCGGAUAGACCUCUAAGUAGAGUUUUGAAACUAUGAUAACAACUACUUUUGUUCUUAUGUUAACCCGGUUAAUGGUCAACCCGAUCCAUGACUCGGGCCUUGCCGUGACCUGGGUCGACCUUCUUGUCGGAUUUUAAAACUAUGAUAAUAAUCAUUUUUUAUCUUUACGUUGACCUGAAUCAACCAUGUUAUAAAUAUUAAGUGAAUAUAUAUAUAUAUAUAUAUAUAUAUAUAUAUAUAUAUAUAUAUAUAUAUAUAUAUAUAUAUAUAUAUAUAUAUAUAUAUAUAUAUAUAUAUAUAUAUAUAUAUAUAUUCCCUUUUAUUUUUAAUUUUUUUAAAAAUUCCUUUCAGAAAAACUAAAUUCAAUAAAGACAAAAAAAACCCCUAAGAUAACCCGUGCUAUUUUUAAAAUCACUAAAAAUCCCAUAGAAUCUCCGAUUAAGCAGAAGCCAAAUGAAAAAAGGGGUCUGGAUUGACUCGCUGAGUCGGUCUAAGUAAUUGAAACAAACUGCAUGUGUCGUCAGAGUAACAAUCUACAAAGCAAACAAAACAAAGUACUAUGAAACAAGCAUCUAAUGCUUAUAUUCAAUCAAUUAAUUUAAUUUAAUAAAAAGAUAAAAUUCCUUUUAAAAAUAACUAAAUUUAAUAAAGACUGAAAAAACAUGUGAUAAUCUGUGUCGUUUUUAAAAUCACUGAAAAUUAUCAUAAAUAACAAAAAAAAAAAAUGGGGCCCAAUCUCUUACUAAAUAAACACCAAAUGAAAAAGGGUCUGGAUCGACUCGUCAAGCCGGUCUGAGUUUUAGAACAAUGGAUCAUGUGAUCUUUAUAUAAAAAUGACCUUAAAAUAUAAUGAAAUUGAUAAAGUAUUAAGCUUUUAAAAAAACAAGUAAACCUUCUAAACUCGAGUUAAUCUCUCAAACUCGUAAUCCGCUAAAUUCUAGAUCUGAGUUCAAUUAAGAAGCUCAAUACCAAAUCAAUUUAACGUUGAGAGAUGAAAUAAAAAAAAGUGAACUUUAAAAGAUUUUCAAGUAAAAAAAAACCCAGGAAUGGGAGACAUAGAAUCACCAAGGCCUUUAUAUCCAAUAGUCGAAAACUAUGCAAAUAUAUUGUAAAUUGGAGUUGGUGACUACCUUUCGGCCUGGGGAAUGUAUCUAUAGAGUUCCUUCUACCAUUCGCGAUUUUAACGAAGCUGCCUAUACUCCUCAUGUGAUUUCCAUAGGGCCUAUUCUCCAGCAUGAUAACAAAGCAUUAAAAGCUGUGGAAGAUCAGAAAUGAAGAUUUAUGAAAGAUUUUUUCAGAGUGCGAAUUCAAAAGGAGAAAAGAAAAGAACAUUUGACAACACUUUUGAGCGCCAUUAAAGAUGAUGAUGCUGCCAUCCGACUUCGCUAUGUAGCUGAGAUCUCUGAGAUUUGCAGUGAGAAGUUUGUGAAGAUGAUUCUAUAUAUUCGAUGCUGUAUUCAUCUUCGAGCUCUUCUUGAGGAAUCAUGAACCUAGAAAUCGAUCAUUGUAAGAAUAGAAAAGGUUUAUGAAAAUGUUAUGGAAAAGACUUCAACGAGUGGUGAUCGAAGUCGGAAAUUUCUUAUUUUUCAAAUAGUAGGAAAAUUUUGGAGUUACAUUAAAAGUUAUGAAUCUCUAUCAUCAUCACCGUCUUCCUUUAUUAGUGGAGUGGUAAACAGAUUAUUAAUUCUAAAAUCUGAAUAUUAUGAUAUAUCUAGUGAUUUAUUUUAUAACAGUAGUGCGAUAUAAUCAACAAUUAUUUGCAUCAUUAAAUAAAAACACAAUUAUGGGCACCUCGAUGUGACAAAAAAUCUUCUCGUUUUUUUUUAAAAUCUUUUUUUUUAAAUCAAGCAGCCUUCACUUCCAAAUCAUAAAGACUUGCACUGAGGUAAAAUAGUCUUUUUCAAAUAAUCAAAAGCCAUUUAAGAAUUCAACAUGGGCAAUAAGAUCUUUAUACUUUUAUUUUGCACUAUGAAAUUAAUUCAUCACUCUUAAAAGUAAAAAAUUCUAAACCUUGGUUUAGGGACUUUAUUGUCUAUUUAGGUUUUUUUAAAUAGUAAAAUUAAUAAUUUAACACUAGUGCUAAAAAAACAACAUUCAUGGAAUUUUUAGUCCUUUUCUUAAUUUAAACUCAAUUAAAUUAUUUCAUUGCCCUUUAAAUUUUUAAAAAUCUUGCCCUUUAAUUUGCGGUUACUUUACUCUUUUACGUUUGGUUAUUUUGUUAUACUUGGUUUCAUUAGAGGCAAUAUUGUUAUUUGCUAAAUAAGAAAAUAAAAAAGAUUGAGGGCACGUGUAUAGUAACCACAACUUUCAAAUAAUAUGUUCGGCACCGUCCGGUGGUCGAAUGCAUGCUUCUGAGGCGGCGACCAAAGCAUCUUGGCAACCCUUGCAUGAUUAGUUGGCGUAUAUGGUCUAAUUGUUUUUGGCUUGACAUAUGUGACAUUUUUUUUUCUAUAAUUAUUUUUAUAUAACGAUAUAUCUAUAUCUAAUUAGUUUUGUUUAAAAUUAUGUCAUAUUCCGAGUGUGUCAACUUAAUGCAAAUACAAUUAUUGUUUUUAGACAUGCACAAGUAUUAAAAAUGCAGUGUUUAGUUCAACAAAUCCAACGGCCAACGAAUUUCAGUAUAAAAAAAACAAGAAAGAAAAUACAAAAUACAAUUAUGGCUGCAACUUUCCUGGACAUGAAAUUAGAGAAAGAUAAGUAGAAAUUGUAUAAUAAUGCUGGGCACAAACUCGGCUUGGUUUAUCGCUGUGUUUGAUAAUUUAUUAUGAUUUAUUUUUUAAAUUAAAAAUAUAUUAAAAUAAUUUUUAAUAUUAAAAAUAGAUCAAUUUAAUAUAUUUUUUUAGAUAAAAAAUAAAAUUAUUUUUGCUAGGAGAAAGUUACUAGCACUAAGAUUUGAAAUUUAGCCACUUGAAUUCUGGGUUUAUUUUUAUACACGGUGAAAAUUAUAAUUUAAAAAAACAUAAAAACAAUAUUUGUUUUAGCUUGAAAUACAAAUAAAUGCAUAGAAAAACAAGCAGCAGUACCGCAAUAAAUAUACCUGUGGUGGGAUUGUUGAACGAACCAUUAAAAGCCAACUACCAGUAAACCCAACCACAUACGGAUUUUUGUUUUAUCACCACAAUGAUAAAUACAAUUAGAUAUUUAUGAUUUCUUUUUGGCUAAACAGCUUAAACCUCUGGGAAUGUUAACCCAUUUAUUAUUUAAAAUCAGAUUCUUUUAUCAAAUAUUAUAUGUUCAUUCAUUAAAAAACUCUAACACGUGAAAGUCACUUGUAAAUUAAUCUAAACCCUUUAUUUAUUAUUUAUUUUUAGAUAUCUAUUUUAAGUGUACGGUGAAUGAAGUACCAAAAGUGAUUGAUUCAAGUAGUUUUGAGUUCGAGUCUUAUAAAUAUAGUAUAUUAUUGUUGGGAAAGCUUCAUCUUUUAAUGGAUCAACCUUACUCAAUGAAAUUAACUGGGUCUAGUGGACUUUCAGAUUUUAGGAUUUAAAUAAAAAUAUAUACAUGAUAAUACAAUGAUUUUUCUAAUUUAUUUCUCACUAUCUAAUUUUUUUUUGAAAAAAACAGCAACGGAAAACGCCAGUAAUUUCAGAACUAGCCACCGAAACAUCAUUAAAUCAGAUUUCAUUAAAUCGGGCAUCAAUUGGCAUUGCAAUCAUCCAACUAAAAAACGCCAAUAAUUUAUUUCAUUUGUCCCUCUCGGUCAUGGUCAUGGCAACCCCCUGUAGCAUAGUCAAAAGGUCGCUUUUUUAUGCUCCACAAGAACACCUUCAUCCUUUUCCUUUUCUUUCUACCCUCCCUGUCUAACCUCUUCCUUUCCUUCAUUUUUUUUUCUUGGGACGAGUGCCCAGCUGGACCCAUACAAGUGUGACUAAAGGAAAGAGCUGUCCAUGAAUUAUUAGUGAAGUGAAAUGCAUGUUUUUCGAACCAAGCCCCACUGAGCUCGAGAUAUUUAGUCUGCUGGUCGCUGUUUUGAGUCCACUUCAUUAUCAGUACAAAUAAGAUUCAAUUUUUAUUGUCUAGCAGCCACAAUUUUAGUUUUGUUGUGAAAAAUCGUGGUCUCUCAAGUUUUUAUUCAUUCAAAUUUGGUCAUCAAUCUUCACUUUUUUUUAACUUCACCAUCAAAAGUUAUAAUAUUUUUGUCCUACAUGUUAUCACGCAUCCGAGCAAUAAGAGAUUGUUUCGGGGUUAAAUGAUAGGUCAAUUUUACAUCAUAUAAUUCUUAGUUAUUGUUAAAAAUAAUAUUAAAAAAACAAGGAUUAAAAUUGAUAUCGAUAAAAAUCAACUACCUUUCCCAUCAAUACUGUUCAAUACAUGCAUAAAUUUACAUUUUAAUUAUUUAUACUUGGUCCGUUCUAUUUUUGGAUUUUUUGUUUAGCUUCCAAACUUUAUUUUUUUAUGUUUCAAUCCUUAUAUCUCGAGAUAGGAGAGAGAAGCUCUUGAGGUUGGAUUCCGAACACUAAUAUUUUUGAUUUUGGUGUUUAUGAAUUCAACUUUGAUAGAUGAGCUCAAUAAAGGUGGUCUUCACCUUCAGUAACAACGAAAAAAGUAGAUUCGAUCUUAAUUUUUUUUUAUUUGAUCUAAUUUUGAGUUUUUAGAUCAAUUAGAAUGCUUUUAUUUUAUUUUUUGGAUGAAAAAAGUUUGAAAUCUUGAUUUUUAAGGUAAAAAAACCUUGGACAUUGAUCUUUUGUUAAUCAAAGACACCUCAAACGAUGGAAAAAAAUGGAAAAUAAGUGACGAUCAUUUAUCUAUUUUAAAAAGACAAUAAAGGGUAAACAAUAAAAAAAAAUCUUUUAACCUUUAAAAAUUAAAAUUAAAAACCCGGUGUACGAGCUUGGACUUUUAGGCCCAGGCAUGCUUGGAUUUUAACAUGGGCUAGAUGAUGGACCUAUUUCCCCACCCCAUAUGAGCAUGACCCUUCAUUUGUUUUUAAUUUUAUUGUUUUUUCUUUGAAUUUUAUAAUUAAAUUCUUUUUAAAUAAACUUAUUUAUAUAAUAUUUAAAUAAUUGUCCAAUUAUGCCAUUGUUUUCAAAGAAUAUUAGCUUAUUUUAUGAUAAUAUCAACAAUUGGUUUUUGAAUAAUUAUAUAUGAACUUAAUAUGCAUAUUUUUUAAAAAAAUUUAGAUGAAAUAUCUAUUUUUUUUUAUAAUUUUUAUGCAAUCUUUUCAAGUUUAUUAUUCUUAUAUUUUCGUAAUACAUUUGUGUCAAAACCACCACUUUAUAAUUGUUUUAAUAAAAAAUUACUUUUAAGAGUAUGAUAAGUUUUUAUUAAAAAUAACUAUUUCUGAUUAAAGAAAUUGUAAAAAAGAAUGCAUCAAUAAGGGAAAUGAUCAGUUUUGAUUAAAUAUAUAUAUAUUUUUAUAUUUAUUUCAAAUCGUUAUAAUUUUUUUUAUAUUGAUUUUAAUUGCUCUUAGUUUUUAUACAAUAAACAACAUGACUAGAAAAAACAUAUAUAUUUUUAAUAAAUUAAUACUAGAAAGAGGAUUUAUACUAAUAAUUAUAUUUUCCUAUGAAAUUUAAAUUAUUACUUUUUCUUUACAAAAAUCCAUUUUUUUCAUAUAAUUAAAUAUUUUUUUUAAAGAUAUGAGAUCAAAUAUCUUUAUAGGCAUCAAUCUUUUAAUUUUUCGCUUUAGUUUUUAGUUAGUAGUAACAACUUUUUUUUAUGUUUUAUUGGUUCAUAUAUUUUUCAAUUUAUUUUAUUAAACUUAAGCAUUAACUUACCAAAAUAAUAUCAUUUUAGUUUUUUUAAAUUUUUUCUAAAACAAUAUUGUUUAGGAUAAAAACUAAAUAAAAACAUAAUAAAUCAGGGCCAACUUUGUCAUCUAAAGGGUGACCCACUCAAUUCAUAACCUAAAUCUUAAAUCUUAUAAUUAUGGUAAUAAAUCAUCAUGGUCUAAAUUGACCACAAAAAAUUAUUCUUAUUUUUUUGAACAACUUGAACAUUAAAAAUUGACCACAAAAGAUUUGCAGGGAUAAUUAUGGCCGAUAAAAAAAGGCUAAGUGCAAGAAAAGGUCUAUGUUGCAUAGAAUGACUAACUUAAUAAAAUGUCUCUUAACUUUCAAUCCAAACGUUAAAUUAUGCUUGAAUUUUACAAAUAGGUUCCAAAAACUAGGUUUAUAGGGGCUAGCUUGGUGUAACUGGUGUAGAUUCAGAAGGAUUCCAAAUUAGACUUGUAAGGUUUUGUUUGGGUUAGAGAAACAAACUGUUUUUAAAAAAAUAAAUUUUAAUUUUUUUUUUUUAUGUUUAUGAUAUUCGGUGAAAUUCUUGUUAUUUCAUUUGUACUUCUUAUUUUUAUUUUUACAGUAACCCUAUUCAACAAAAUCGUAUCAAUGGUGCGUGAAUUGAUACCAGCGUUGCGUCACCAUGGAUGCGUCACCGGGGGUCAACCCGCUGUACCCCCAAGGUCUGAUAGCUGUAUAAAAGAGUGCUAUUACCUUACUGAAGAGCAUCACAAAACACACAGAGAGAGAGAGAGAGACUGCGUUCAACGUAUCAGUAUAGCUUCGAGGAAAUCUAGAGCCUCCUGCUUCUCAGGUUAAGGUACUUGGGUUCUUCAUGCACUGGUUUUUUCUCCUGUUCAUACUCCCUUGUUUCAUUAAUUAUUUUUGUUCCAACAACUGAGAACGUUUAAAGCUCCCAAAUUAUUAAUUUCAGUGUUACAAAGCUCACAUGGUAUGCAUUACCAAUAAACCUUCGAUCACCUUUGUACCCUGAAAUGGUCAGGGUUUUCGCCUUUCCCCCACUUACUUUCCAAGGGAUGAAGUUCGGUUAUAGUUUUUUUAUUUUUUAUUACUCCAUGUAUUCCUAUUAAAGUUUGGUUGCAGUUCUUUUUUUCUAGAUCAAAACACUAGGCUGCUAGCUGCUUGUUUGUUUUAGUACCUUCUCCUUCUUCUAGCUAACUUGGGGCAACUGCAUGAUGCUUGAGGAAGAACUCUUGGCUGUACAUAUACAAUAUCUAGGUUCAGAAACCUCCAAUAUCCAUGAUAUAUGGAACAUUAUGCUAAAACCCUGAACCGUGUAUUUUACUAGAAAAUCUAAUUUGGCUUGUUUGGUUAGUAGAAGAAACCGAGCAAGCAACUAGUUGCUCCAAACGAACCACCGCGAUAAAAAGUUUGAGAUGUCAUGAAAGCCAGACUCCUGAUAAAUUUGAUGUUCUGCAUAGUAUUGACUUAUAGACCGGAGUAUAAUUUAUAUAUAGAAUUCGAUGUUUUGAGAUGCCAUGAAAGUUUUUGCUAGUGAGUAUGCAUAGAAUUAUUUUGAGAAGUUAAUUUUAUAGCUAGUGGUGACUCUUGUUUUAUUUGUCAUGCGAGCAGAAAACUUCCACAAAUGGAAGAAAAUGAAUUAUCAAACUCUAUGAAUCAUAAUGAAAAACCAUGCAAAGAUAUUGCAAUUGAAAUUCCAGAGGACUUAAUUCCAAAGGACUUGGAGACUACCUUUCGGCCAGAGGAAUGUAUCUACAAAGCUCCAGCUGCACUUUGCGAUUCAAACAGAGCUUGCUACACUCCUCGGGUAAUUUCUAUAGGUCCUUUUCAC
RNAcentral lists this long non-coding RNA (12321 nucleotides) under Populus trichocarpa (black cottonwood). RNAcentral's name for it is "long non-coding RNA (PTRI_LNC003245)". The record is from RNAcentral. Lineage: Eukaryota; Viridiplantae; Streptophyta; Magnoliopsida; Malpighiales; Salicaceae.